UGGGACACCCUAUUUAUCUUUGACUUAUGCAUUUAAAGCACAGAAGACUGAAUUAGGAUAUCAGUAACUUACGAAACAGAGCGGCUGAGACCAUCGUCCGAUAUAGGCCUGUUGAGAUUAUCUGAAUCGGUAGCUGAAAUGACGUCAACAAGGAUGAUUCUAGUCUUACUGGUGGCACCAGCUUUCGUCAUGUCUAACGAAUGCCAGAAUAACAUCAACGGUUGCAGUGUCCCUUCGUUCCUUCAAGGAUUUGAAAAUAACAGAGAAUAUGUGGCAAUAUUCGAGUCAGUCUGUAAUCAACACGACAUGUGUUAUAACUGUGGAGCGGCGUUUGGAAUUAAUAGAAGCGGUUGUGACACCCGACUAUACCGACAUAUGGUAGACGUGUGUGACAGAACGGACGCUGCAUCCCUUCCUGGCGGAAAGCCACGUUGCUAUGACAGGGCAAAUGCAUUUAAAACUUCCGUCACUUUGUUUGGGUUUUGGUUUUAUCACAGCAAAGCUCUUAGUUGGUGCAACGAUAGGUGCACGGCAGAUUAUUUGGGAAAUGACCAAUUUUAAACUCUCACCUAUAUGCAAAUGUGACAGCUCAGAAAGCCAUCGAAUUAUAUUUCUCGUUUUGGAAAUACUCCAUUAAUUUUGACAAGAGUGUACCUGGCCUCUCAAUCAAACAAGCGACAGUGCUUAUGUGUAAGACGCUCUAACAGAAA
This is a long non-coding RNA of Lingula anatina, 710 nucleotides long. The record is from RefSeq and is a predicted model, not a curated record. NCBI's taxonomy places the organism in Eukaryota, Metazoa, Brachiopoda, Lingulata, Lingulida, Lingulidae.